AGAUAUGAGGGUGAUGUGGCUGCGAUGUCUGUCACCCCAAUGAUUGCCAGGGUUGAUUCGGCUGAUCUGCCUGGCUAGGCAGGUGUCUUCUUCCUCCCUCACUGCCCCAUGUGCUUCCCUCCUGAAACUUUGUCCUUGGUCGAAGAGGGCACCUUCCCCGAAUAAAGAAGGACCAGUCUUUGGUCAAGCAUAGAACCUCCACACAAGUUUUCAAAGUUGAACAUUCCCAAUUGUCUCCUUCCCAUUUAGAGCACUCUUGUCUAAAAUACUGCCUAUAUAGUACAUUAUUUUUUGAGACAGGUUCUCACUAUAUACCCUG
This is an unclassified non-coding RNA of Cricetulus griseus (Chinese hamster), 319 nucleotides long. Its record names the gene 7SK. It matches the Rfam family "7SK RNA". Rfam says of the family: 7SK was discovered as an abundant small nuclear RNA in the mid-70s but a possible function has only recently been suggested. Two independent studies have found that 7SK RNA binds the CDK9/cyclin T complex (known as elongation factor P-TEFb). P-TEFb activates transcription by phosphorylating the C-terminal domain of RNA polymerase II. NCBI's taxonomy places the organism in Eukaryota, Metazoa, Chordata, Mammalia, Rodentia, Cricetidae. The record is from Ensembl.